This 301-nucleotide ribosomal RNA is filed under the name uncultured bacterium. RNAcentral's name for it is "partial 16S ribosomal RNA". It matches the Rfam family "Bacterial small subunit ribosomal RNA", at positions 509 to 809 of the family's 1533-position model. The record is from RNAcentral.
CAGUAGCCACGGUAAUACGUAGGGUGCAAGCGUUAAUCGGAAUUACUGGGCGUAAAGCGUGCGCAGGCGGUUUUGUAAGACAGAGGUGAAAUCCCCGGGCUCAACCUGGGAACUGCCUUUGUGACUGCAAGGCUAGAGUACGGCAGAGGGGGAUGGAAUUCCGCGUGUAGCAGUGAAAUGCGUAGAUAUGCGGAGGAACACCGAUGGCGAAGGCAAUCCCCUGGGCCUGUACUGACGCUCAUGCACGAAAGCGUGGGGAGCAAACAGGAUUAGAUACCCCCGUAGUCCCUGUCUCUUAUAU